UGGAAUAAAACGUAUACCGUAAACCUCCAAAUAUAAGCCCCCCUCCCGAAUAUAAGCCCCCCGUGUAUAAGCCCACCACAUGUACUAACGCUCACCUCAUUCCAACUACAAGCCCCCCUCCCCGAAUAUAAGCCCACCCGAAUGUAAGCCCACUUGUUUAUCACUAUUGUUUAUCACUAUUACCCAUAGAUAUCUCAUAUCUAUGCCAUUACCAC
Paramuricea clavata is the source of this 215-nucleotide non-coding RNA. The record is from the annotation of a GenBank genome assembly. Lineage: Eukaryota; Metazoa; Cnidaria; Anthozoa; Malacalcyonacea; Plexauridae.